This 476-nucleotide ribosomal RNA is filed under the name Prevotella nigrescens. RNAcentral describes it as "bacterial SSU rRNA". It matches the Rfam family "Bacterial small subunit ribosomal RNA", at positions 28 to 494 of the family's 1533-position model. Lineage: Bacteria; Pseudomonadati; Bacteroidota; Bacteroidia; Bacteroidales; Prevotellaceae. The record is from RNAcentral.
GAUGAACGCGGCUACAGGCUUAACACAUGCAAGUCGUGGGGAAACGGCAUUAUGUGCUUGCACAUUCUGGACGUCGACCGGCGCACGGGUGAGUAUCGCGUAUCCAACCUGCCCCUUACUUGGGGAUACCCCGUUGAAAGACGGCCUAAUACCCGAUGUGUUUCAUGACGGCAUCCGAUAUGAAACAAAGGUUUUUCCGGUAAGGGAUGGGGAUGCGUCUGAUUAGCUAGUUGGCGGGGCAACGGCCCACCAAGGCGACGAUCAGUAGGGGUUCUGAGAGGAAGGUCCCCCACAUUGGAACUGAGACACGGUCCAAACUCCUACGGGAGGCAGCAGUGAGGAAUAUUGGUCAAUGGACGCAAGUCUGAACCAGCCAAGUAGCGUGCAGGAUGACGGCCCUAUGGGUUGUAAACUGCUUUUAUGUGGGAAUAAAGUGGCGCACGUGUGCGCCAUUGCAUACCUCAUGAAUAAGACCG